AAGUCGUAACAAGGUUUCCGUAGGUGAACCUGCGGAAGGAUCAUUAACAAAUUUUGGGAUUUAUUCCAUAAGCGCGACGGCUUUAGUGCUGUCGUUGGUGUCCAUGGCUCGAGGGUCGGGAUGCCAUGAGGGAAGGCAAUAGACUAGCAACACAUUGUCGCGCUUGCAGCACGGCUGUGCUCUUGUAGCACUUCUGAUGCGCUUGCAGUGCUUUCUGGAGCCAGCUCCUUUGCCUUUUUCUCACAUUUGCGCAAUUUAAUGUUUGUUGGGUUGACUGAAUGAUAACCAAUGAGAUAAAUA
This 300-nucleotide unclassified non-coding RNA is filed under the name Phylloporus sp. Its description in RNAcentral is "partial contains small subunit ribosomal RNA and internal transcribed spacer 1". The stretch from base 1 to 46 matches the Rfam family "Eukaryotic small subunit ribosomal RNA", at positions 1786 to 1831 of the family's 1831-position model. The record is from RNAcentral. Lineage: Eukaryota; Fungi; Basidiomycota; Agaricomycetes; Boletales; Boletaceae.